UAUAAAUUACAAAUGGUCUUCUUAAGAACAACUUAAAGAUAUUUACAAAAAGACCUGUUUGUCUAAGCAUCAUUAAGACCUGUUUAAAGAGGUUUACCAAAUACAUAACCCAUUUUAUCAACGCCUUGUUAAUAAAGCUAUUUGCUGUUGUAAGUAAACGUUUGAUAGAAAUGUUUGCUUGUUUAAUUUGUGACAUUUCCAAUUUUGAAUUAAAUCUCUUUUUAGCACUUUGUAUUGGUUUUGUUGUGGCUAUAAUGAAAUGAUAAAAUUGUAAUUAGAAAAAUAUUAAUCGCUUUCGCUGAUAUUUGCAGUCGGAUAUCUCCAUCACCAAACUCAAGUUAAGAAGAGGGUCGGAUAUUUAAUGAAUUACAUACAUAUGUAUACGAACAAUAACAGUGAUAUGAAAUAUAUUUUCAUUUAUUUGAAAAAUAAUUUUGCAAAGUAUUAGCUAUCUCAAUUUUGGAGAAUAUAGUAAGGGACAAAUUACAAAACCAAUAUAUUCACAAUUUUCCAGUUCUCUUUUACAUUGAGUUUGGUCUGGUGGAUGCGUGCUGGGCUGGUAUGCGGGAUA
Long non-coding RNA from Episyrphus balteatus (marmalade hoverfly), 571 nucleotides. RefSeq lists it as uncharacterized. The transcript has 3 exons. The record is from RefSeq and is a predicted model, not a curated record. Lineage: Eukaryota; Metazoa; Arthropoda; Insecta; Diptera; Syrphidae.